AAAAAUUUAGUUAAUACUUAUAACAUUAGUUUGUCAAACUAAAAUAAUUUUAUUAUAAAAUAAUUUUUA
RNAcentral lists this transfer RNA (69 nucleotides) under Onthophagus longimanus. RNAcentral describes it as "tRNA-Asp". The record is from RNAcentral. Lineage: Eukaryota; Metazoa; Arthropoda; Insecta; Coleoptera; Scarabaeidae.